This is a long non-coding RNA of Xyrauchen texanus (razorback sucker), 674 nucleotides long. RefSeq lists it as uncharacterized. The transcript is spliced from 3 exons. NCBI's taxonomy places the organism in Eukaryota, Metazoa, Chordata, Actinopteri, Cypriniformes, Catostomidae. The record is from RefSeq and is a predicted model, not a curated record.
UGUCAGAGGAACAGAGAGUGUCUGCUUCAAAGCUCAUACCAUUGUACAGGAUGUUGCAGCACAAGCUUGCACAGAAAAAGGAAAUGCAACGCAGGAAUCAACUGUACAAUUAGGCUCACAUCUACAAGAAGGUCUGCACUCCAGAUGUGGAGGGUACGAGACUUUUAGAGCCUUGGCACUGGCUACACUGCUGGACCCAAGGUUUAAAAAUGUGGCUUUUGGAAAUCCUGCCAAAGCCCUGGAUGCUGAAAAGCACAUCACACUGGAGUGUGCUUCACUGAUGCGUUCAAACACAACUCCUGAACCACAAAUGUCAACAUCAGGCCCAUCAUCAACACCAGUUGAAACACAAGACAGUUUAUGGGAACAUUUUGACAAUCGUAUCCGUGAGACCCAGAUGAUACACAAUCCUACAGCUGAUGCCACAGUGGAAGUGAAAAAAUACCUCAGCGAUGCGUUUUUGCCCAGAACUCAUGAUCCUCUAACUUACUGGAAAGAGAGAGCAGUAAUCUUUCCUCAUUUGUAUGUCCUAGCUAAAAAAUAUCUUUGUAUGCCAGCAACAAGUGUCCCUUGUGAGAGAAUUUUUUCAAAGGCUGGAGAAAUUAUCUGUAAAAAAAGUAGGCUGAGUCCUUCAACAGCAGAGAAAUUAAUAUUUUUGAAUAAAAAUCUAUAAG